Molecule: ribosomal RNA, 479 nt
Filed under: Stygocapitella sp. 169_36
Lineage: Eukaryota; Metazoa; Annelida; Polychaeta; Parergodrilidae
Description: partial large subunit ribosomal RNA
Rfam family: Bacterial large subunit ribosomal RNA
Source: RNAcentral
CGCCUGUUUUACAAAAACAUAGCCUAUAACUUAACUUUAGGUACAACCCUGCCCUCUGAAAUUUUAACAGCCGCGGUAUCCUAACCGUGCUAAGGUAGCAUAAUCAUUUGCCUAUUAAUUAUAGGCUAGCAUGAACGGGAUCACUCACUUAAAUUUAUUUUCACUACAAUUAAAAUUAAACUUUAAGUUAAAAUACUAAAUUUUUAAGAAAGACAAAAAGACCCUGAAAACUAUUAGAAGAUAAUUAGUUGGGGCAACUAUAGACCAUAAACAGCGUCUAUUAAAAUUCGAAUUUUAAAAUUCAAAGCACACAGUUACUUCAGGGAUAACAGACUAAUUGUAUUAUUUAGACCUAAUAAAUAAUAAAGAUUGGCACCUCGAUGUUGGCUUAUAAUUCCUUCAUAUAGUAACAUAUAUUGAUGGCAGCUGUGUUCAUCUGAUAAAUAUUUACAUGAGCUGAGUUCAAACCGGCGUAACAA